AGUGAACGCUGGCGGUAGGCCUAACACAUGCAAGUCGAACGGCAGCACAGUAAGAGCUUGCUCUUACGGGUGGCGAGUGGCGGACGGGUGAGGAAUACAUCGGAAUCUACUUUUUCGUGGGGGAUAACGUAGGGAAACUUACGCUAAUACCGCAUACGACCUACGGGUGAAAGCAGGGGAUCUUCGGACCUUGCGCGAUUGAAUGAGCCGAUGUCGGAUUAGCUAGUUGGCGGGGUAAAGGCCCACCAAGGCGACGAUCCGUAGCUGGUCUGAGAGGAUGAUCAGCCAGACUGGAACUGCGACACGGUCCAGACUCCUACGGGAGGCAGCAGUGGGGAAUAUUGGACAAUGGGCGCAAGCCUGAUCCAGCCAUACCGCGUGGGUGAAGAAGGCCUUCGGGUUGUAAAGCCCUUUUGUUGGGAAAGAAAAGCAGCAGGUUAAUACCCCGCUGUUCUGACGGUACCCAAAGAAUAAGCACCGGCUAACUUCGUG
This 492-nucleotide ribosomal RNA is filed under the name uncultured bacterium. Its description in RNAcentral is "partial 16S ribosomal RNA". It matches the Rfam family "Bacterial small subunit ribosomal RNA", at positions 29 to 507 of the family's 1533-position model. The record is from RNAcentral.